AUUGAACGCUGGCGGCAUGCCUUACACAUGCAAGUCGAACGGCAGCACGGGAGCAAUCCUGGUGGCGAGUGGCGAACGGGUGAGUAAAGUAUCGGAACGUGCCCAGUCGUGGGGGAUAACGUAGCGAAAGUUACGCUAAUACCGCAUACGAUCUAUGGAUGAAAGCGGGGGAUCGCAAGACCUCGCGCGAUCGGAGCGGCCGAUAUCAGAUUAGGUAGUUGGUGGGGUAAAGGCUCACCAAGCCGACGAUCUGUAGCUGGUCUGAGAGGACGACCAGCCACACUGGGACUGAGACACGGCCCAGACUCCUACGGGAGGCAGCAGUGGGGAAUUUUGGACAAUGGGCGAAAGCCUGAUCCAGCCAUGCCACGUGCAGGAUGAAGGCCUUCGGGUUGUAAACUGCUUUUGUACGGAACGAAAAGGUUUGGCCUAAUAAGCUGAGCUCAUGACGGUACCGUAAGAAUAAGCACCGGCUAACUACGUGCCAGCCGCCGCAGUAA
Molecule: ribosomal RNA, 500 nt
Filed under: uncultured bacterium
Lineage: Bacteria
Description: partial 16S ribosomal RNA
Rfam family: Bacterial small subunit ribosomal RNA
Source: RNAcentral